This is a long non-coding RNA of Hemiscyllium ocellatum (epaulette shark), 206 nucleotides long. RefSeq lists it as uncharacterized. The transcript has 3 exons. NCBI's taxonomy places the organism in Eukaryota, Metazoa, Chordata, Chondrichthyes, Orectolobiformes, Hemiscylliidae. The record is from RefSeq and is a predicted model, not a curated record.
UUUCAAUCACAUCCAAUGGACAUCCAUGGCCCAAGCCUGUUGAACGAGGACGUGAGAACAGACAGAGAGAGAAAGAACACAUGGAAAGAUUUGAAAGCACGGAGGAACCUUUUUGCAGCUGUCAGAUACAGUUGUCCCUCCGUACCGGCAGGGGAUAUGUUCCAAGACUUAUUGCAGAACCCCAAAUCCACGGAUAGGAGCGAACC